UACGGAGGGUCCAAGCGUUAUCCGGAAUCAUUGGGUUUAAAGGGUCCGUAGGCGGUUUUGAUAAGUCAGUGGUGAAAGCCCGUCGCUCAACGGCGGAACGGCCAUUGAUACUGCAAGACUUGAAUUAUUGGGAAGCAACUAGAAUAUGUAGUGUAGCGGUGAAAUGACUUAGAGAUUACGAUGGAAUACCAAUUGCGAAGG
This 201-nucleotide ribosomal RNA is filed under the name uncultured bacterium. Its description in RNAcentral is "partial 16S ribosomal RNA". It matches the Rfam family "Bacterial small subunit ribosomal RNA", at positions 524 to 721 of the family's 1533-position model. The record is from RNAcentral.